CAAAAUAUCUUUCUCAUCUAAGUAUAAUCUGAGAUUAUCAUUAGAAGCAGAUGUGGAUGCUUGUGAAUUAUUCAUCAGAAUUUAUCAAAGCAUAAGUAUGUAAAAGUAAAUAACUUACAGUAAUCAAAAUAGAAGUAAACAGGCUUUCCCUCCAGUAUGCUCUUAUAGAUGCUUUGCAUGUACUUAAUCAAUCUUCUGAAUCAAGUAAAGAUUUAAAAUGUUUUUUGAAAUCAUUUGGGUCCACAACUGUUUCCGCAAAAGGCUUUUCAAUUAAGGUUGCAUUUCUCAUUCUAGAGAACUAGCCGUGUUACCACAGACGCUAUCUCACAGUAUCCAGAGUCUCUGUUUUCACCUCUAUCCAAAUUCUUUUCAGAAUCAAGUUCUUACUUGGAACGAAAUUUUAAAAGAUAACUCACACACAAAGUGCUACAAUUUUGUUAGAAAACUGCAUUUUUCCCCUAAAUCAUUCAUUAAAGACGGGUACUUUAGCAUGGCUAACAUCCAUUCAAAAUCAAUAUUUUGAAAAUCUUUUAAAAUCUCUAUCUGUACUGCCGAGGAAUCGUAAAAAACUUAACGAAAUCCUUUUAUGAAAACUUUGUUGAACAUAACAAACUUUACUUUGAUAUUCAUAAACUGAAAUAGCACAUGCUUACAAUCUAUAUUUACAUACUUUUGGUACUCACCUUAUGAAAUUUAGAACUCCAUAAGUGAUUACCUGAUUACAAGCUUUGCUAUCUUCAAGCUAUCUAAUAUUUUUCUGAAUACAAGUGGUGUGUACAGAUUACAAAUGAUAUAUUUCUAAGAUGUGUUUCUUCAAAGUGUUUUAGAGAUAAGUUGUUUCGAGAUAUCUUCCUUCUUCCUUCUUGCCUCCUUUUAUAGAAGCCUCUGAGAAUCUUAUCUUGACAGGUGUUUUCCACUUCCUUUUGUUGGGUAGCUCAAUAAUGUUAUCUACACCGAUUUCUCCAUUAUCUUCUUGCUAGGUGGACCUUCUCCUUUUGAAAUUUUAUGCCUUAUCUUUGAAUUUGUCUUCCACUUAUGACAACUGGUGGAUGAGUAGUCACAAUUAUGGAGACUUUUGCACUAUCUUCUGUCUUUUAAUAGCCACAAUUUUUCUUUAAUAAAUUUCUUUAUUAAAGUAGUUAUAAAUGGCCACUUUCGUCACCAUCAUUUUUUCAUUUUUGAAUCAAAGAAUUCUGCAAGGAAUUUUUCACUGUUGAUAGAUGCUUGACUCAUAUCUUCAACUACGCAGUAUUCACAAUGGUGAUCACUGUAGUUACAGAGUAAUUUGCACAGUUCUUUAGCCAUAUCUUCUGAUCCAUGUACUUGGUUGGAGAUAAUUGC
Molecule: long non-coding RNA, 1341 nt
Filed under: Olea europaea subsp. europaea
Lineage: Eukaryota; Viridiplantae; Streptophyta; Magnoliopsida; Lamiales; Oleaceae
Source: RNAcentral